GCCAGGUGCGGUGGGCCCGCCUGUAAUCCCAGCGGCAUGGAAGGCAGAGGCAGGAGAAUCGUGAGUUCAAAGCCAGCCUCAGCAACUGCGAGGCGCUAAGCAACUCAGUGAGACCCUGUCUCUA
This 124-nucleotide small RNA is filed under the name Marmota monax (woodchuck). The record is from RNAcentral. Lineage: Eukaryota; Metazoa; Chordata; Mammalia; Rodentia; Sciuridae.